Molecule: unclassified non-coding RNA, 201 nt
Filed under: Hevea brasiliensis (rubber tree)
Lineage: Eukaryota; Viridiplantae; Streptophyta; Magnoliopsida; Malpighiales; Euphorbiaceae
Source: RNAcentral
GCUUGAUAUGCUGAUUCUUUACUUUUCAUUUCUACAUUUGAUAGUGCCUGCUUUACUUGGUUAAUGAUCUUUGGCUCAACUGGAACUGGCGGAGACUCCAUGACUGGCAAAUCCUUGAUGUUAUUUAAGAAGUGCUUCUCCCAUGGUGCCAAUAUCAAUAAGCCUUUCCCUUCCUUGCCUUUUCGUCCAGUUCUACCAAGU